Molecule: ribosomal RNA, 204 nt
Filed under: uncultured bacterium
Lineage: Bacteria
Description: partial 16S ribosomal RNA
Rfam family: Bacterial small subunit ribosomal RNA
Source: RNAcentral
CCUACGGGAGGCAGCAGUGGGGAAUAUUGGGCAAUGGGCGAAAGCCUGACCCAGCAACGCCGCGUGAAGGAAGAAGGUCUUCGGAUUGUAAACUUCUUUUAUCAGGGACGAAGGAAGUGACGGUACCUGAUGAAUAAGCCACGGCUAACUACGUGCCAGCAGCCGCGGUAAUACGUAGGUGGCAAGCGUUAUCCGGAUUUACUG